UACGGAGGGGGCUAGCGUUGUUCGGAAUUACUGGGCGUAAAGCGCGCGUAGGCGGGCUGGAAAGUUGGGGGUGAAAUCACGGGGCUCAACCCCGGAACUGCCUCCAAAACUAUCAGCCUUGGGUUCGAGAGAGGUGAGUGGAAUUCCUAGUGUAGAGGUGAAAUUCGUAGAUAUUCGGAGGAACACCAGUGGCGAAGGCGGCUCACUGGCUCGAUACUGACGCUGAGGUGCGAAAGUGUGGGGAGCAAACAGG
Molecule: unclassified non-coding RNA, 253 nt
Filed under: uncultured Rhodobacterales bacterium
Lineage: Bacteria; Pseudomonadati; Pseudomonadota; Alphaproteobacteria; Rhodobacterales
Description: contains 16S-23S intergenic spacer region
Rfam family: Bacterial small subunit ribosomal RNA
Source: RNAcentral